AGAGGCUGGCCAGCAAGAAGGUAUACAGCACACCUUUCCUCACUGGUAAACACAGGAGAGAGGUUCAUGGUGCUGCUGCUGCAUCCAGGAUUCCGCUCACCUAUAUGCAGAACCGGAUUCUGGACUGAUCACGGUCUUUCUAGCCGGCACAAAAGUCCACAAACUGUCCAGAUUUGAUCUUAGACGGAGGGGGCACCGGUUAUCUGCCAUUUCAAUGAAAAUUUAGCCGCAACACCUAUUUUAUUUCACCGAGCACUGGUUGGAUCUGUGCCUCUGCUGAGCGAUGAAUGAUCCUGUCGGGACGGGGCGCACCAUCCCUUUCUUCCCAUGCUGACCAUGCCAGUGUACCGAGUGCCUAUAACCUACACUGUAAAAAAUGUCUGUUUGA
Molecule: long non-coding RNA, 388 nt
Organism: Girardinichthys multiradiatus
Lineage: Eukaryota; Metazoa; Chordata; Actinopteri; Cyprinodontiformes; Goodeidae
Exons: 3
Source: RefSeq, a predicted model, not a curated record